This 449-nucleotide ribosomal RNA is filed under the name uncultured bacterium. Its description in RNAcentral is "bacterial SSU rRNA". It matches the Rfam family "Bacterial small subunit ribosomal RNA", at positions 29 to 506 of the family's 1533-position model. The record is from RNAcentral.
ACGAACGCUGGCGGCGGGCUUAACACAUGCAAGUCGAGCGCGGCCUUUCGGGGCUGAGCGGCGGACGGGUGAGUAACGCGUGGGAACGUGCCCUUCUCUCUGGAAUAGCCCUGGGAAACCGGGAGUAAUGCCGGAUACGCCCUUUUCGUAGCGAUACGGGGAGGGGAAAGAUUUAUCGGGGAAGGAUCGGCCCGCGUUGGAUUAGGUAGUUGGUGGGGUAACGGCCUACCAAGCCGACGAUCCAUAGCUGGUUUGAGAGGAUGACCAGCCACACUGGGACUGAGACACGGCCCAGACUCCUACGGGAGGCAGCAGUGGGGAAUCUUGGACAAUGGGGGCAACCCUGAUCCAGCCAUGCCGCGUGAGCGAUGAAGGCCUUAGGGUUGUAAAGCUCUUUCAGCGGGGAAGGUAAUGACGGUACCCGCAGAAGAAGCCCCGGCUAACUCCGU